GAUGAACGCUGGCGGCGUGCCUAAUACAUGCAAGUCGAGCGAACAGACGAGGAGCUUGCUCCUCUGACGUUAGCGGCGGACGGGUGAAUAACACGUGGAUAACCUACCUAUAAGACUGGGAUAACUUCGGGAAACCGGAGCUAAUACCGGAUAAUAUAUUGAACCGCAUGGUUCAAUAGUGAAAGACGGUUUUGCUGUCACUUAUAGAUGGAUCCGCGCCGCAUUAGCUAGUUGGUAAGGUAACGGCUUACCAAGGCAACGAUGCGUAGCCGACCUGAGAGGGUGAUCGGCCACACUGGAACUGAGACACGGUCCAGACUCCUACGGGAGGCAGCAGUAGGGAAUCUUCCGCAAUGGGCGAAAGCCUGACGGAGCAACGCCGCGUGAGUGAUGAAGGUCUUCGGAUCGUAAAACUCUGUUAUUAGGGAAGAACAAAUGUGUAAGUAACUAUGCACGUCUUGACGGUACCUAAUCAGAAAGCCACGGCUAACUACGUG
This 497-nucleotide ribosomal RNA is filed under the name uncultured bacterium. Its description in RNAcentral is "partial 16S ribosomal RNA". It matches the Rfam family "Bacterial small subunit ribosomal RNA", at positions 28 to 507 of the family's 1533-position model. The record is from RNAcentral.